GUUUUUACAUCGUGUCCUGUAUCUCCUGAUGUGUUUUGUUGUGUUAAAUCAGUCCAUCUGUAAACACAUGAUGUAAUCUGACACGUCUGCUCCCGUCUCUCUGCAGUAUAUUCACUCAGCAGGCAUCAUCCAUCGAGAUUUAAAACCAAGUAACCUUGCAGUGAAUGAAGACUGUGAGCUGAAGAUUUUGGACUUUGGUCUGGCACGACACACCGACGAUGAGAUGACCGGCUACGUGGCGACCCGCUGGUACCGUGCCCCAGAGAUCAUGUUGAACUGGAUGCAUUACAACAUGACAGUGGAUAUUUGGUCUGUGGGAUGUAUAAUGGCAGAACUUCUCACUGGACGUGCUCUGUUUCCCGGCACUGACCGUAUCCUUUUUCAUCUGACAGUUCGCUGUGCACACCAUGAACUCCUGCAGCUGACAAACAAUUUACAUAACAAAUUAAACUGAUCCAACACACACCGAUGAUGACGUAGAGGCGCGCUGAUUUGUCUGCAAUAAAUCUGCAAUACUGCUUUUCUCCGUCCUCACACGGAAAGCCGCCUUUCCUUUUCAACACGACUCUGCCUGAGGCGUUUUCUCAUGAAGAGCGAUCACACAUUUUUCUCACUUGACACAUGCACCUCUGA
This is a long non-coding RNA of Pundamilia nyererei, 633 nucleotides long. RefSeq lists it as uncharacterized. Lineage: Eukaryota; Metazoa; Chordata; Actinopteri; Cichliformes; Cichlidae. The record is from RefSeq and is a predicted model, not a curated record. The transcript has 4 exons.